Molecule: long non-coding RNA, 237 nt
Filed under: Lathyrus oleraceus (garden pea)
Lineage: Eukaryota; Viridiplantae; Streptophyta; Magnoliopsida; Fabales; Fabaceae
Description: Pisum sativum (pea) long non-coding RNA (PSAT_LNC036332)
Source: RNAcentral
AAUUAGUAGGAUUUUAUUUAAAUAGAGGAGAUAAUUAUAAUUAGGGUUGUUGUUGGAAUUAUUUGAUUAUGUUUUUCUAGGAGUUGUUGUGUUUAUCUAAUUAACCGCUUUAUUAUUAAAUAAAGUGAUUUUCUUUUUCUGAGACAAAUUGAAAACUGUGUUGAAGUUUAAUUUCGCGGUUAUAAUAUGAUGUUUGAGAAAGUUGUUUUAUGAUGAGAAAAUGUGAUACCUUUUUUU